GAUGAACGCUGGCGGCGUGCCUAAUACAUGCAAGUCGAGCGAACGGACGAGAAGCUUGCUUCUCUGAUGUUAGCGGCGGACGGGUGAGUAACACGUGGAUAACAUACCUAUAAGACUGGGAUAACUUCGGGAAACCGGAGCUAAUACCGGAUAAUAUUUUGAACUGCAUGGUUCAAAAGUGAAAGACGGUCUUGCUGUCACUUAUAGAUGGAUCCGCGCUGCAUUAGCUAGUUGGUAAGGUAACGGCUUACCAAGGCAACGAUGCAUAGCCGACCUGAGAGGGUGAACGGCCACACUAGAACUGAGACACGGUCCAGACUCCUACGGGAGGCAACAGUAGGGAAUCUUCCGCAAUGGGCGAAAGCCUGACGGAGCAACGCCGCGUGAGUGAUGAAGGUCUUCGGAUCGUAAAACUCUGUUAUUAGGGAAUAACAUAUGUGUAAGUAACUGUGCACAUCUUGACGGUACCUAAUCAGAAAGCCACGGCUAACUACGUG
RNAcentral lists this ribosomal RNA (497 nucleotides) under uncultured bacterium. RNAcentral's name for it is "partial 16S ribosomal RNA". It matches the Rfam family "Bacterial small subunit ribosomal RNA", at positions 28 to 507 of the family's 1533-position model. The record is from RNAcentral.